RNAcentral lists this non-coding RNA (28 nucleotides) under Rattus norvegicus (Norway rat). The record is from RNAcentral. Lineage: Eukaryota; Metazoa; Chordata; Mammalia; Rodentia; Muridae.
UAUUUUGGCUAGUGCUUACGGUUUAUCU